UACAUAUACCAUUCGCCAGGGAACUACAAGCGUAUAGCUUAAAACCCAACGGACUUGGCGGUGCCCCACACCCCACCUAGAGGAGCCUGUUCUAUAACUGAAACUACCCGUUCAACCUCACCACCCCUAGCCCCCAGUCUAUAUACCGCCGUCGCAAGCCCACCCUGUGAAGGAUCAAUAACAAGCUAAAUGGGCAUAGCCCAAAACGUCAGGUCGAGGUGUAGCACAUGGGGUGGAAAGAAAUGGGCUACAUUUUCUAUACCUAGAAUAAACGAAUAAUAGUCAUGAAACACGCUAUUUGAAGGAGGAUUUAGCAGUAAAAAGAAAAUAGAGCGUUCUUUUGA
This 344-nucleotide ribosomal RNA is filed under the name Arapaima gigas (arapaima). Its description in RNAcentral is "partial 12S ribosomal RNA". It matches the Rfam family "Bacterial small subunit ribosomal RNA", at positions 856 to 1365 of the family's 1533-position model. The record is from RNAcentral. Lineage: Eukaryota; Metazoa; Chordata; Actinopteri; Osteoglossiformes; Osteoglossidae.